This 337-nucleotide unclassified non-coding RNA is filed under the name soil metagenome. RNAcentral describes it as "partial contains 5.8S ribosomal RNA, internal transcribed spacer 2, and large subunit ribosomal RNA". The stretch from base 1 to 120 matches the Rfam family "5.8S ribosomal RNA", at positions 35 to 154 of the family's 154-position model. The record is from RNAcentral.
GAUGAAGAACGCAGCGAAAUGCGAUAAGUAAUGUGAAUUGCAGAAUUCAGUGAAUCAUCGAAUCUUUGAACGCACAUUGCGCCCCUUGGUAUUCCGAGGGGCAUGCCUGUUCGAGCGUCAUUACACCACUCAAGCUAUGCUUGGUAUUGGGUGUCGUCCUUAGUUGGGCGCGCCUUAAAGACCUCGGCGAGGCCUCCCCGGCUUUAGGCGUAGUAGAAUUUAUUCGAACGUCUGUCAAAGGAGAGGAACUCUGCCGACUGAAACCUUUCUUUUUACAGGUUGACCUCGGAUCAGGUAGGGAUACCCGCUGAACUUAAGCAUAUCAAUAAGCGGAGGA